This 481-nucleotide ribosomal RNA is filed under the name Streptococcus sanguinis. RNAcentral's name for it is "bacterial SSU rRNA". It matches the Rfam family "Bacterial small subunit ribosomal RNA", at positions 28 to 487 of the family's 1533-position model. Lineage: Bacteria; Bacillati; Bacillota; Bacilli; Lactobacillales; Streptococcaceae. The record is from RNAcentral.
GACGAACGCUGGCGGCGUGCCUAAUACAUGCAAGUAGAACGCUGAAGAGAGGAGCUUGCUCUUCUUGGAUGAGUUGCGAACGGGUGAGUAACGCGUAGGUAACCUGCCUGGUAGCGGGGGAUAACUAUUGGAAACGAUAGCUAAUACCGCAUAAAAUUGAUUAUCGCAUGAUAAUUAAUUGAAAGAUGCAAUUGCAUCACUACCAGAUGGACCUGCGUUGUAUUAGCUAGUUGGUGAGGUAACGGCUCACCAAGGCGACGAUACAUAGCCGACCUGAGAGGGUGAUCGGCCACACUGGGACUGAGACACGGCCCAGACUCCUACGGGAGGCAGCAGUAGGGAAUCUUCGGCAAUGGGGGGAACCCUGACCGAGCAACGCCGCGUGAGUGAAGAAGGUUUUCGAAUCGUAAAGCUCUGUUGUAAGAGAAGAACGGGUGUGAGAGUGGAAAGUUGCACAUCGCAAACGUGUUAUCUUACCGAA